This 718-nucleotide ribosomal RNA is filed under the name uncultured bacterium. RNAcentral's name for it is "bacterial SSU rRNA". It matches the Rfam family "Bacterial small subunit ribosomal RNA", at positions 29 to 740 of the family's 1533-position model. The record is from RNAcentral.
UUGAACGCUGGCGGCAUGCCUUACACAUGCAAGUCGAACGGCAGCACGGGUGCUUGCACCUUGGUGGCGAGUGGCGAACGGGUGAGUAAUACAUCGGAACGUACCUUAUCGUGGGGGAUAACGCAGCGAAAGUUGCGCUAAUACCGCAUACGCCCUGAGGGGGAAAGCGGGGGACCGUAAGGCCUCGCGCGAUUAGAGCGGCCGAUGUCUGAUUAGCUUGUUGGUGAGGUAAAAGCUCACCAAGGCGAUGAUCAGUAGCUGGUCUGAGAGGACGAUCAGCCACACUGGGACUGAGACACGGCCCAGACUCCUACGGGAGGCAGCAGUGGGGAAUUUUGGACAAUGGGGGCAACCCUGAUCCAGCAAUGCCGCGUGAGUGAAGAAGGCCUUCGGGUUGUAAAGCUCUUUUGUCAGGGAAGAAACAGCAGCUCUAACACAGUCUGCGAAUGACGGUACCUGAAGAAUAAGCACCGGCUAACUACGUGCCAGCAGCCGCGGUAAUACGUAGGGUGCGAGCGUUAAUCGGAAUUACUGGGCGUAAAGCGUGCGCAGGCGGUUAUACAAGACAGGCGUGAAAUCCCCGGGCUUAACCUGGGAAUGGCGUCUGUGACUGUAUAGCUAGAGUGUGUCAGAGGGGGGUGGAAUUCCACGUGUAGCAGUGAAAUGCGUAGAUAUGUGGAGGAACACCAAUGGCGAAGGCAGCCCCCUGGGAUAACAC